AAACUUUUUUUUAUAAACAAACAAACUAACUCGGUCAUCGGCUACUUUUCCAGGUUAAAGAAUAAUGCCUGUCAGAGGUGAUCAAUUCAAACAUGAAGGGGCUAAUUUGCAAUUCAAUUCGAUCAACAAUAUAUCGACCAUUGCAUUGGAACUUGGAGAAGAAAGAACUCGUAACGAGUUGAUCCCUCGCUUAACAAAAAUCAGUUACGAUGAGGACGAAGACUUGUUGGCUUUGACUGAACUGUUGGGAACAUUCACAAGUGCGUAACCGGAUGUUUUUGUCAUGUUUUCCGAUUUUUCGAUCAAAAGCUAUGCGGACUGUGUAUUGGAUGGUUGAAAAAUAAAAUAUAUCCGAUUAGAGAGGGUGCCAUUUUCAACAUAGUGCAACUGGUUAAGGUCUUCGGUUCAGCCUGGGCCGAACUAGCAAUUGUUCCGAAAAUUCUGUUUAUGGCAAACAACAAGAAUUACAUGCACAGGUUAACUUUUCUGUUAUGCAUCAGUGAUGUCGCCCGAAGUUUGUGGCAAAGCAAUCACCUCCACAAUGCUCUUGCCAAAGAUAUUACUAUUGGUUGACGAUCCAGUUGGCAAAGUACGAUUUCGAGUUGCCAGAACGCUACAGACGAUAAGCCCGUUUGUAAAUUCGUCCGUCGUGCGUUGGAAAGUUGAACCGGCGCUGGACAUACUACAGGACUUUGUUGGUGACUAAAAUUAUGAGUGAAACAAGUUUGGAUUUGGUGAAUAUGGACCGAAAAUUCAAAAGUGUGACAGAAAUGUACGAGAAGAGAAUUAAACGACUGGAAACCUACGAGAUCCUAACAACAGACUAAAUUUUCCACACGAACAAUAAAUGUAAAAUUGAAA
This is a long non-coding RNA of Bradysia coprophila, 861 nucleotides long. Lineage: Eukaryota; Metazoa; Arthropoda; Insecta; Diptera; Sciaridae. The record is from RefSeq and is a predicted model, not a curated record.